RNAcentral lists this long non-coding RNA (1230 nucleotides) under Homo sapiens (human). RNAcentral's name for it is "HSALNT0210327". The record is from RNAcentral. Lineage: Eukaryota; Metazoa; Chordata; Mammalia; Primates; Hominidae.
UUAUUCUCUUUUCACUAUUAAUAUGCUUAUGAGAUUGAUAAAGAAUGCCUAACAAUAGGUGUACUGUACCUUUAUAUUAUUAGGGCACUUGACAAAGUAUCUUAUGAUCUUUGUGCCAAUAAAAUAGCAAAAUGUAGGCUGAAUGAGAAGGCAAGAUUAAGAGGCAGCUGAAAGCUUGUCCUCAGAAGAUUGGUUAGCCAGAGUGGUGUCAAUUUAAAUCCAGCUCUUAAGUAGAGCAGGCUUUGGAAAUAUAUACCUGAAUUUAUCUUAGUGAAUAAUUGUAUCCUGCAAAGUGAGAGUAACCAGCAAUAUUUUGGGAUACAGAGAGUUUAUGCACUAUGCUUUUCUCCCAGAAAGCACAGGAAAAAUCCCCAAACCUAAGAGUUAUAUUUACAGGCUUUUAAAAGUCAUCCUCUGCUAUCAUGGAUCUAACUCUUAAAUUUUUCACUGACAGAACACCUACUAUAAAUAACUGGGAGAUAAACUCUGAUUAUAGCUUCCAUUUAAUUAACAUCCACUCCUAACAGAACUUAUUAUUUGCUCAUGAAACUGAAAUUUACUAUGGUAUAGAAAAACUAAUGUCUCAUAUGUAUUUCGGCCCAAAGGAGAAGAAAUGUGGAAGUGGGAAGUUAAUGAAGAAAAUGGAUGUGCAUCAAGGUAGAAAGAAAAUGCUCACUUUUGUAAAUAGGGUUUUACUUUACGGCCAUGGUUCUUAACCAGGAGAAAUUGUGCUUUCCAGGGGACAUUUGACAAUAUGUGGAGAUAUUUUUGAUUGUCAUGACAGGUGAUGGAUUUCUACUGUCAUCUAGUAGGUAGAGCUGGGGAUGCUGUUAACCCUUCUGCAGUGCACAAGAUAGCUCCCCAAAACAAACAGCUAUCUGAUCCAAAAUGUUAAUAGUACCAAGGUAGAGAAACGCUUCUUUAGAAAGAGCCUCUUACAUUUUGGUGUGCAUCAGAAUCACCUGGAGAGUUUGUUAAAACAUAUUCCUAUGUGGGGGUCUAGAGUCAGAAUUAGAGUUUCUGAUUCAGGAUGUCUGGAUGGGACCUGAAAAUAUAACACAUCCUAGAAACACUGAUGUUGCUGCUCUGAAGAUCACACCACUGCUCUAGGGCCAGUAUUUUUAUUGUAUUUAUUUAUUUAUUUAUUUAUUUUGAGAUGGAGUUUCGCUCUUGUUUCCUAGGCUGGAGUGCAAUGGCACGAUCAUGGCUCACUGCAACUCUGCCUCCCAG